CCAAGGAGUCUAACGUGUGCGCGAGUCGCUGGGCUCUUACGAACCCCAGAGGCGAAGCGAAAGCAAAGACCGGACUAGAGCCGGUUCAGGCAUGAUCGCGCCCGUUCAGUCGGGCGCGCGCAAUGCCGGCCUGUGUCAAUAACGGCCCCUUCGGGGGCCGGAGAGGCAGAGCCAGAGCGCACACGUUGGGACCCGAAAGAUGGUGAACUAUGUCUGAGCGGGGCGAAGUCAGGGGAAACCCUGAUGGAGGCCCGAAGCGCAUCUGACGUGCAAAUCGAUCGCCAGACUUGGAUAUAGGGGCGAAAGACUAAUCGAACCAUCUA
Molecule: ribosomal RNA, 323 nt
Filed under: Chama gryphoides
Lineage: Eukaryota; Metazoa; Mollusca; Bivalvia; Venerida; Chamidae
Description: eukaryotic LSU rRNA
Rfam family: Eukaryotic large subunit ribosomal RNA
Source: RNAcentral